AUUCUGCCCAAGCGGGGAAGGAUGAGAAGCUUCGACCAAGAUUCGACUUGAGCGCCAGCGAGAGAGCGUUGCCGCAGGCAACGACCCGAAGGGCGAAGCGCGCAGCGCUGAGUAAUCCUUCCCCCACCACCA
This 132-nucleotide small RNA is filed under the name Escherichia coli. RNAcentral's name for it is "RtT sRNA". It matches the Rfam family "RtT RNA". Rfam says of the family: This family represents a bacterial cis-regulatory element known as RtT RNA. The exact function of RtT is unknown although it is thought that it may be involved in changing the cellular response in relation to amino acid starvation. The record is from RNAcentral. Lineage: Bacteria; Pseudomonadati; Pseudomonadota; Gammaproteobacteria; Enterobacterales; Enterobacteriaceae. RNAcentral also lists the same sequence under 1 other name.